CUUUUUAAAAGUCUGUAUCAAAGUGGGUUUUCUUUAUUACUCGCUUGUAUAAUUUUAGAAAAAAAAAACAUAGAAAUAUACACAAAAUUCGAAAUGAUGUGGUUUCUCUUUAGCUCUGUUUGACAAGGCCUCAUGCAGGUGGGCUUUUCUCUUUCAACUCAAAACCUAGCAGAAAACUCAAACAAACGUCAACAUUGCUACAUUCUGUCCAUUACUUCCCCCUAUGUCUACACCUUAUCUUCAUUGUUCUAAUCUUUAAUCUAUUUGUAAUUCUUUUAUGUUUGAAGAUUUUCAUUCAAAGGAUAGAAAAAGAGAUAAUUAAUAUUGGACUGGAAGUGAUUCAAAAGCCUAAAACAAACUAUUGCCUCCCUCUGUUGGCAGGGUAGAAAUUAGGUCGUGUUACAAUGUCUAGCUGCAAGGCUUCACAUGAGAAUCAUAUUUAGACUAAAUGUACGCACCCUACUUUCAGACUGUGGGUGCAAUAUCCCCAAAUAUUUUGACUAAGCGUAUAACAAUAUUGAUGAUCACAGUUAAUAAAAACCUAGUUUAAAAAACAAACUAAGUUGAUUAUAGUUAUGUGUAUCUUGUUCUGUAAAAAAUAUAAUAAAGUUUCUUUAAUGACUUACUACAAGUUUUAAACUAGGUAUUUUUUUUAAAUGUAUAUCAUUUUAUAGACAAUAUUAUGAAUAUUGAACAUAUACAGCAGCAAAGGAUAGAAAAAAAUAACAAAAGAGCAAAAUAUUCACAAUCAUACACACCUGUAUUGAUGUUACUAAAUUCAAAGAUGGAUUUAAAUAUGAAAAAGUUGGCUUCUAAGCAGUGUAUGCCUUAAAAAACAAUUUUUCUUCUCUGCAAACUAACAAACAUACGGCUUUCUCCUGUUUUUACCAAUUCUACUCUUUAUGUUGGCACAUAGAUCAUCAUAGAUUGAAAGAUGCUAGAUCUAGCUAAAAAGACAUCUCAUUUGUCGUCCAAAGCGGCCUAUCCCUACUCGUGACAAUAAUGCGAACAUAGAGUGCAUGUCAUGAGACAAUGAACAAAUUUGUGGUUGCUUGCGUGUUGCAGCUGUGUGUGGGGGGG
Molecule: non-coding RNA, 1080 nt
Organism: Biomphalaria pfeifferi
Lineage: Eukaryota; Metazoa; Mollusca; Gastropoda; Planorbidae
Source: the annotation of a GenBank genome assembly